RNAcentral lists this ribosomal RNA (503 nucleotides) under uncultured bacterium. RNAcentral describes it as "partial 16S ribosomal RNA". It matches the Rfam family "Bacterial small subunit ribosomal RNA", at positions 28 to 523 of the family's 1533-position model. The record is from RNAcentral.
GAUGAACGCUAGCGAUAGGCCUAACACAUGCAAGUCGAGGGGCAUCACGGAGUAGCAAUACUUUGGUGGCGACCGGCGCACGGGUGAGUAACGCGUAUGCAAUCUACCUACAACAGGGGGAUAACCCGGAGAAAUCCGGACUAAUACCGCAUAACACAGGGGUCCCGCAUGGGAAUAUUUGUUAAAGAUUUAUCGGUUGUAGAUGAGCAUGCGUUCCAUUAGGUAGUUGGUGAGGUAACGGCCCACCAAGCCUGCGAUGGAUAGGGGAACUGAGAGGUUUGUCCCCCAAACUGGACCUGAGAAACGGACCAGACUCAUACGGGAGGCAGCAGUGAGGAAUAUUGGUCAAUGGGCGAGAGCCUGAACCAGCCAAAUCGCAUGAAGGAAGACUGCCUUAUGGGUUGUAAACUUCUUUUGUACAGGAAUAAAAAGAGGGACGUGUCCUUCAUUGCAUGUACUGUACGAAUAAGCAUCGGCUAACUCCGUGCCAGCCGCCGCCGUAA